UGGGGAAUAUUGGACAAUGGGGGAAACCCUGAUCCAGCCAUGCCGCGUGUGUGAUGAAGGCCUUAGGGUUGUAAAGCACUUUUGUCAGGGAAGAUGAUGACGGUACCUGAAGAAUAAGCACCGGCUAACUUCGUGCCAGCAGCCGCGGUAAUACGAAGGGUGCUAGCGUUGUUCGGAAUUACUGGGCGUAAAGCGCGCGUAGGCGGCGUCGCAAGUCAGAGGUGAAAUCCCAGGGCUCAACCCUGGAAUUGCCUUUGAAACUGCGAUGCUAGAGUGUCGGAGGGGAUAGCGGAAUUGCUAAUGUAGAGGUGAAAUUCGUAGAUAUUAGCAGGAACACCGGUGGCGAAGGCGGCUAUCUGGACGACAACUGACGCUGAGGCGCGAAAGCGUGGGGAUCAAACAGGAUUAGAUACCCUGGUAGUCCACGCUGUAAACGAUGGGUGCUAGCUGUUCGGGGGUUACCCCUGAGUAGCGCAGCUAACGCGUUAAGCACCCCGCCUGGGGAGUACGGUCGCAAGAUUA
RNAcentral lists this ribosomal RNA (522 nucleotides) under uncultured Alphaproteobacteria bacterium. Its description in RNAcentral is "bacterial SSU rRNA". It matches the Rfam family "Bacterial small subunit ribosomal RNA", at positions 355 to 896 of the family's 1533-position model. The record is from RNAcentral. Lineage: Bacteria; Pseudomonadati; Pseudomonadota; Alphaproteobacteria.